RNAcentral lists this non-coding RNA (780 nucleotides) under Melanitis phedima. The record is from RNAcentral. Lineage: Eukaryota; Metazoa; Arthropoda; Insecta; Lepidoptera; Nymphalidae.
UAAUAAAUAAAAUUUUUAUGUUUUAUUAAAUUUAUUUUAAAUUUAUUUUACAUAUAAAUUUUAGUAUUAAAUUUUAAUUAUUUUAAUAAUAUUAAUAGAUUUUUAUAGUAAUUAAAAUUAAAAAUUUAAGAAAUUAAGAUUUAGUAAUAUAAAAAUUAAUAACUAAUUUUGUGCCAGCAGUUGCGGUUAUACAAAAGUUAAAUUAAAUUAUUUCAGUUUAUAAUAAAUAAAAUAAAUUUAAAGUAAAUAUUAAAUUAUUAGGUAAAAUUUUAAUUUAGUUAAAUUUUAUAUAAAUUUUAUGAUUUAAUAAAUUUAAAAAUAAACUAGGAUUAGAUACCCUAUUAUUUAAAAUUUAAUUGAUAAUGCUAAAAUAGUAAAUAAUAAAUAUUGAAACUUAAAUAAUAUGGCGGUAUUUUAGUUCAUUUAGAGGAAUCUGUUUAAUAAUUGAUAAUCCACGAAUAAAUUUACUUAAUUUAAAAUUUUAUAUAUCGUUGUUAAAAAAAUAUUUUAUAAUAAAAAUAAUAUUUAAAAAUUAAUAAUAAAAAAUUAAUUCAGAUCAAGAUGUAGAAUAUAAUUAAGAAUAUGAUGGAUUACAAUAAAAUAAUUUAGAUGAAUAAUUAUAGUUGUAAGAUUAAUUUGAAGGUGGAUUUAAAUGUAAUUUUAUUUAAUUUAGUAAAAUGAUUAAAAAUUGAAAUAUGUACAUAUUGCCCGUCACUUUCAUUUUAAAAUUGGAAUAAGUCGUAACAAAGUAGAGGUACUGGAAAGUGUUUCUAGAAUGAA